GACGAACGCUGGCGGCGUGCUUAACACAUGCAAGUCGAACGGUGAACCAGGGCUUGCCCUGGGAAUCAGUGGCGAACGGGUGAGUAACACGUGGGCAACCUGCCCCAGACACCGGGAUAACUACUCGAAAGAGUCGCUAAUACCGGAUACGACCACUUCGGGCAUCCGACGGUGGUGGAAAGGAUUCUGGUCUGGGAUGGGCCCGCGGCCUAUCAGCUUGUUGGUGGGGUAAUGGCCUACCAAGGCGACGACGGGUAGCCGGCCUGAGAGGGCGACCGGCCACACUGGGACUGAGACACGGCCCAGACUCCUACGGGAGGCAGCAGUGGGGAAUAUUGCGCAAUGGGCGAAAGCCUGACGCAGCGACGCCGCGUGAGGGACGAAGGUCUUCGGAUUGUAAACCUCUUUCAGCAGGGACGAAGCGAAAGUGGCUGUACCUGCAGAAGAAGCACCGGCUAACUACGUG
RNAcentral lists this ribosomal RNA (466 nucleotides) under uncultured bacterium. RNAcentral describes it as "bacterial SSU rRNA". It matches the Rfam family "Bacterial small subunit ribosomal RNA", at positions 28 to 507 of the family's 1533-position model. The record is from RNAcentral.